RNAcentral lists this ribosomal RNA (450 nucleotides) under uncultured bacterium. RNAcentral describes it as "partial 16S ribosomal RNA". It matches the Rfam family "Bacterial small subunit ribosomal RNA", at positions 354 to 796 of the family's 1533-position model. The record is from RNAcentral.
GUGGGGAAUUUUGGACAAUGGGCGCAAGCCUGAUCCAGCAAUGCCGCGUGCAGGAAGAAGGCCUUCGGGUUGUAAACUGCUUUUGUACGGAACGAAACGGUCCUGGCUAAUAUCCGGGGCUAAUGACGGUACCGUAAGAAUAAGCACCGGCUAACUACGUGCCAGCAGCCGCGGUAAUACGUAGGGUGCGAGCGUUAAUCGGAAUUACUGGGCGGAAAGCGUGCGCAGGCGGUGCUGUAAGACAGGCGUGAAAUCCCCGGGCUCAACCUGGGAAUUGCGCUUGUGACUGCAGUGCUGGAGUGCGGCAGAGGGGGAUGGAAUUCCGCGUGUAGCAGUGAAAUGCGUAGAUAUGCGGAGGAACACCGAUGGCGAAGGCAAUCCCCUGGGCCUGCACUGACGCUCAUGCACGAAAGCGUGGGGAGCAAACAGGAUUAGAUAUCCCUGUAGUCC